AACGCGAAGAACCUUACCCGGUCUUGACAUGCACUGUGUCUCCGGUGAAAGCCGGAUAGUGUAGCAAUACACGCUCUGCACAGGUGCUGCAUGGCUGUCGUCAGCUCGUGUCGUGAGAUGUUGGGUUAAGUCCCGCAACGAGCGCAACCCUUAUCGUUAGUUGCCAACAGGUAAUGCUGGGAACUCUAGCGAGACUGCCUGGGUUAACCAGGAGGAAGGUGAGGAUGACGUCAAGUCCGCAUGGCCCUUAUGUCUGGGGCUACACACGUGCUACAAUGGUCGGUACAGAAGGCAGCGAAACCGCGAGGUGGAGCAAAUCCCAAAAGCCGACCCCAGUUCAGAUUGUAGUCUGCAACUCGACUACAUGAAGAUGGAAUUGCUAGUAAUGGCGAGUCAGCAACAUCGCCGUGAAUACGUUCCCGGGUCUUGUACACACCG
Molecule: ribosomal RNA, 438 nt
Filed under: uncultured Chlamydiae bacterium
Lineage: Bacteria; Pseudomonadati; Chlamydiota; Chlamydiia
Description: bacterial SSU rRNA
Rfam family: Bacterial small subunit ribosomal RNA
Source: RNAcentral